Molecule: ribosomal RNA, 253 nt
Filed under: uncultured bacterium
Lineage: Bacteria
Description: partial 16S ribosomal RNA
Rfam family: Bacterial small subunit ribosomal RNA
Source: RNAcentral
UACGAAGGGGGCUAGCGUUGCUCGGAAUCACUGGGCGUAAAGGGUGCGUAGGCGGGUCUUUAAGUCAGGGGUGAAAUCCUGGAGCUCAACUCCAGAACUGCCUUUGAUACUGAAGAUCUUGAGUUCGGGAGAGGUGAGUGGAACUGCGAGUGUAGAGGUGAAAUUCGUAGAUAUUCGCAAGAACACCAGUGGCGAAGGCGGCUUACUGGACGGGUACUGACGCUGAGGCACGAAAGCGUGGGGAGCAAACAGG